AUAUGCAAAAUAGAAAAAAGUACCGUAGGUUAAACAAAUAUUUCCAGGAUAUUUACACCCCUAUUUAAGGAAUGGGAUUUUGGCAGCCAACAGCCAACAUAGACAAUGAAUCCCCAACGGACGUUAGUGCUCAAUGCUUUUGUUGAGAACUCCUAGGAACUGACCAGGAAUUACUGGGAUCUCGGGAGUGUAGGAAUUCAUAGCAAGUGGGCAAGGCUGAGAGCCGUUGGAAUGGAAUGAGGCUGGUGUGCAGCGCAGGUGCUUCUCAUUGUCACUCAAUCAGGAGCGGAGCAGGAGACAAGAAGUGUCGCCAGCCGGAAGAACCAUCUCUGGACACCAGAAGACGGACAGGUAGAUGGAUUCCUUCACAGGUCUCCCAGCUUGGCGUCGGAUCUCUCAGCUGGGUCUCACAGCUGUGAGAAACUCAUGGUGACUGGGUGGGACAGAGAGCUAUAGGAACAAAAUAAGGCCAGUGCUUGAGUGACAAUGAGAAGCACGGGGGAGUCACUGCUGUCUGUCAGGAUGCCGAAGCCUGCAGCUGUCCACCAAAGCAGGAGCGUAGCAGGAGACAAGAAAUGCCGCCAGCCGGAAGAACCAGAUGGGUGGAUAGAUUCCUUCACAGGUCUCCCAUCACAUCAUUAGAUCUCUCAACUGGUUGAGGACAGAGUGGCAAUGUGUUUGGAGUACCAAACCUAAUUUUUCCCUCUCUCUGUUGCUUCUGUCUCUUCUCUUUUUUUCCAUCACCUUUCCUCUGGCCCCUUUUCCCAGGUCUCACAAGUGUGGGAACUAAUAGUGAGUAAGCAAGGCAAAGAGCUGCAGAAACGAAACGAAGGUCAGGCCUUGAGUGACAAUGAAAAGCAUCUGCACACCGGUCUCGAGUCCUACGGGGGAGCUCUGCACUAUAAAAGAAGGAGAGACAGCAGAGGAAGACAAGAGAGGACCAGACCUGGACACUUCAUGUUUUACUUUUGCUUUCAGUUUGAUGGCAGACUUUGUAAAAAGCUGCAAUUUGUUUGUUUUAUUUUUUUUAAUUAAUAGAUUAUUUAAAAGUUUAUUAGUUCUCCACUUCCUUCUUGCCAUUGGCCAGAUGGCCAUCUAACUGUGUUACAGUGGUGCUGAAACCUGGAAGAAGGAGGGACAUGUUGUCCAGAUGCCCUUGCUGCUGAGAGGGAGGGAAUUAACCCUAAGUGGAGGAGAAAGCUGUUCUUCUACCCCAGAGUGUGGCCAGAGGCUGGCAAGGAAAAAGUCUGCCUGCUGCUGGCUCCGAGCAUGGGGGGGGGGGGGUGUGGUUCCCACCAAAGAACUGUAAGGAGCCAUCCCAGAAAGGCCGGGGAAUCACCGCUGUCUGCUUGGAUGCUAAAGCCUGCUUCCAUCAAACAGAAUGGGAACAGAGCAGGAGACAAGAUGUGUCAUUAGCCGAAAGAUCCGUCGCUGGACACUAGAAGACGGAUGGGUGGAUGGAUUCCUUCACAGGGCUCCCAGCACGUCGUCGGAUCUCUCAGCUGUUUGAGGGCCGAGUGGCAAUGUGCCUGGAGAACCGAACUCCAAUUUUUUUUCUUGUCCUCUCUCUUCUCUCUAUGUUGUUUCUGUCUAUCCUCUUUUUUCCAUCUCCUUUCCUCUUGGCCUGUUUUCCAGGUCUCGCGGGUGUGGGAACUCGUGAUGAAUGGGCGGGGCCAAGAGCCAUGGGAAUGAAAUAAGGCUGGUGUGCGACACAGGUGCUUCUCAUUGCCUCAAGAAGUGUCGACAGCCAGAACAACCAUCGCCGGACACCAGAAGAUUGAUAGGUAGAUAGAUUGCUUCACAGGGCUCCCUGCUGGACAUUAGAUCUCUCAGCUGGUUGAGGACCAAGUGGCAACAUGUCUGGAGAACACCUCUAUCUGUCUUGUCUCUCCUCUUUUUUUUACCCCUCCCUUUCUCUCGCCCUAUUAACAGGUAUCGCAGGUGUGGGAACACGUGGUGAGUGGGCGGGGCAGAGAUUCAUGGGAACGAAAUGAGGCCAGUGCUUGUGUGACAAUGAGAAGCACCUGCACAGCACACCGGUCUUAAGUCUCACGGAGAAGCUCUGGACUAUAAAAGUAGGAGGAGAGACAGCCGUGGAAGACCAGGAAGGCCUGGACACUUUAUGUUUUACUUUUGCUUAAUUUAUUUGAUUUAUUGAUUUAUUUUUUUCAUAAAUAAAUUAUUUAAAAGUUUGUUGGUUCCUGAUGGCCAGAAGGCCAUCUAACUUUGUCACAGUGACUAAUUCACAUGCAUUCAUACAAUUUUAGUCAUAUAAAAUGUAAAAUUUUUAAAAGGAGCCAUGCACCCAAACCCCAGCCAUAGACCCAACCAUCACUAGAUUAGCCACUAAUCAAAAAGUUACGAAUUGGCAUGAGAUGGCAUUGGCCAUAUCACAGUGCUACUUC
Danio rerio (zebrafish) is the source of this 2405-nucleotide non-coding RNA. Lineage: Eukaryota; Metazoa; Chordata; Actinopteri; Cypriniformes; Danionidae. The record is from RefSeq and is a predicted model, not a curated record.